GAUACACCCCCCUCUGGUGGUGUUUUCCUAAUAUUAUCCGUUGAAUGGACAGGUGGGUAAUUAUAGGCCCAGUGCUAUUUAAGGAAGUCAGCCCUCCUGAUUGUAUGUCUUCCACCUUUCCCUGGAAGAGGGACUUCCUGGUCAUUGUUGUUGGGCGUGGGUCCCGUGUGUGUACCAUUACUGCCAGCAGCAGCUCCGUUGUGCUUUAACCCGGUGUGGAUUCAUAGUGAAUGUUGCUAUCCGGAUUUGGGUGUGAGAACCUUAUCGGCUCAGCUUGUCGUGAGCAGUGUUAGCCGCACAGGCGUUAUCUCGCCACCUGUAGUGGGAGACGGAACCAUCAGCAAUCGGUACGUAAACGUAAAGUUUGUAUUGUGUCUAUUAGAACCAACAAUAUUGUAACUGUAGCUUUUACUACAUCUACAGAUUGGCAGAAGCAUCGGCGGUGUUCGUGCUGGCCUUUGGCCUGUUUCCGCAACCGACGAGUUUGCUGCUUUGUCUCCACUGUUUGUUUAUUUAAUUUAUGUUCAUUUACCUUCCGAGGGGGCCUGUCAGUCUGACGACCAUUCGCCGCCUCUUCAUCUGUAUCUCCUCGCAGUGCAUGACCGGUGACCCGGGUUGUCCACCUAGCCCAGUAUACCGCGCUGCGAAGAUGGGAGAUAUUGUCGGCCGCCCUAUUUAAGCUAAGUCCUGUUCUGAUACACCAAAACCACUAAAACAGUGUACCUGUCCUGUAAGCUGUGCAUUGUGGACUCUUGAGUUAUUUAUAUCUCUAUCUAUCUAUCUAUCUAUCUCUUUCUCUCUCCUC
Long non-coding RNA from Alosa alosa (allis shad), 805 nucleotides. RefSeq lists it as uncharacterized. The transcript has 4 exons. The record is from RefSeq and is a predicted model, not a curated record. NCBI's taxonomy places the organism in Eukaryota, Metazoa, Chordata, Actinopteri, Clupeiformes, Clupeidae.